GUAAUUUUUUUAAUGGAAAUUGGCCAAAUAUGGUAAAUCACGGGAUUGCAGUUAUUAAUUAAUUCUUGAACUUAUCAAUUUUAUUCUUUUUUAUCCCUUCUGAAGGCUAAAACAAUAACAAGAACGAUUUUGUAUGUGUUACUGUGUUGACAUGACGAAAUCAGCUAAUGCGCGAUAUCACGGGCCGCGCCGACACCGGGG
Molecule: long non-coding RNA, 201 nt
Filed under: Mytilus galloprovincialis (Mediterranean mussel)
Lineage: Eukaryota; Metazoa; Mollusca; Bivalvia; Mytilida; Mytilidae
Source: RNAcentral